GCUGGGAUAGCUCAGCUGGCAAAGCAGGAGACUCUUAAUCUCAGGGCUGUGGGUUUGAGCCCCACGUUGGGCA
This is a non-coding RNA of Podarcis lilfordi (Lilford's wall lizard), 73 nucleotides long. The record is from the annotation of a GenBank genome assembly. Lineage: Eukaryota; Metazoa; Chordata; Lepidosauria; Squamata; Lacertidae.